CACGUAGGGUGCGAGCGUUGUCCGGAAUUAUUGGGCGUAAAGAGCUCGUAGGCGGUGUGUCGCGUCGGCCGUGAAAACCUGCAGCUUAACUGUGGGCGUGCGGUCGAUACGGGCAUCACUGGAGUUCGGCAGGGGAGACUGGAAUUCCUGGUGUAGCGGUGAAAUGCGCAGAUAUCAGGAGGAACACCGGUGGCGAAGGCGGGUCUCUGGGCCGAUACUGACGCUGAGGCGCGAAAGCUAGGGGAGCAAACGGG
This 254-nucleotide ribosomal RNA is filed under the name uncultured bacterium. Its description in RNAcentral is "partial 16S ribosomal RNA". It matches the Rfam family "Bacterial small subunit ribosomal RNA", at positions 524 to 776 of the family's 1533-position model. The record is from RNAcentral.